Molecule: transfer-messenger RNA, 391 nt
Filed under: Rhodospirillaceae bacterium
Lineage: Bacteria; Pseudomonadati; Pseudomonadota; Alphaproteobacteria; Rhodospirillales; Rhodospirillaceae
Also listed under: 1 other name
Rfam family: Alphaproteobacteria transfer-messenger RNA
About the family: Bacterial tmRNA, also known as 10Sa RNA or SsrA, is named for its dual tRNA and mRNA-like properties.
Source: RNAcentral
CGGGUUCAAACCCGUACCGAAUGUGCCUAUAUUAGCCGUGUCGGGUAGCACCCGACUAUGGCGAUAAACGGUGCAUCCACUAGGCGUAGCGGACCCGGGGGCAGUACCCGGCGCCUCCACCAACACGCCGGAGAUGCCCGGACGCGCGCAAGGCGCGGCGUCCGGCCACUCCGGCACCCUAUGGGGGCGAACCAGGAUCGACGCGCGUUGAAAGGUGUACUUUUCGCCCGGCAUGGUACCGCCGUUAUCGGGCCUUUUCAGAAGUGCGAACGACAAUCGCGCUCCGGUUGCUGCGGCUGCGUAAUAGCGCCAAGGCGAUCGACUAGAAUCCCCGGUCGGUAGAGCCCGGCCGGGUGGGGUCCGGGGCUACCUAGCAACAGAAAGCCCCACU